This 801-nucleotide ribosomal RNA is filed under the name uncultured marine bacterium. RNAcentral's name for it is "partial 16S ribosomal RNA". It matches the Rfam family "Bacterial small subunit ribosomal RNA", at positions 1 to 795 of the family's 1533-position model. The record is from RNAcentral.
GNAUUGGCANUNNGUCGCAUNNUCCCGGCCGCCAUGGCGCCCGGGGGNCUCGAGANUUUNGAUCGUGUCUCCGGAUGNNNGAAGGNGNGCGUGCCNNCNACAUUCACACNGAGCGGAANCACGUCCGGUGUGGAGCGGNGGACGGGUGAGUAANGNGUGUGGANCAUACCCCNGANUGANNGAUAANCACCAGAAAUGGUGUNUAAUAUNCGCAUAACCUCCCUGGAGAAAAGCUUUGGUGGUUGAGGAAUGGCCUGGGUAAGAUUAGGUAGUUGGUAGGGUAAAGGCCUAACAAGGCAAUGAUCUUUUAGUGGUUGAGAGGAUGAUCAGCCACACUGGAAAUGAGGACANGNNCAGAAUUCUACGGAAAGCAGCAGUAGGGAAUNNUCCACAAUGGGGGAAAGCCUGAAUGAGCAACAUGCGCGUGCAGGAUGAAAGCCUUUAGGUUGUAAAAUGUUUUUAUAGGNUGAGAUUAGACGGUAACCUAAGAAUAAAGCCCGGCUAACUCCGUGCCAGCAGCCGCGGUCAUUAGGAGGAUCCAAGCGUUAUUUGGAAUGAAUGGGGGUAAAGAGGUGCGUAGGCGGUUCGUUAAGUGAGUGGUGAAAUCCCGGGGCUCAACCCUGAAACUGUCACUCGAACUGGCGAUCUAGAGUAUGAGAGGGGAGAGUAGAAUUCCUAGUGUAGGAGUGAAAUUCGUAGAUAUUAGGAGGAACACCAGUGGCGUAGGCGGAGUUCUGGCUUGUUACUGACGCUAAGGCGCGAAAGCGUGGGGAGCGAACGGGAUUAGAUACCCUGGUAGUC